UUCGAGACUAGGACGUUGAUAGGCAGGGUGUGUAAGCGUUGUGAGGCGUUGAGCUAACCUGUACUAAUGACUCGUGAGGCUUAACCAU
Molecule: ribosomal RNA, 88 nt
Filed under: Shewanella benthica
Lineage: Bacteria; Pseudomonadati; Pseudomonadota; Gammaproteobacteria; Alteromonadales; Shewanellaceae
Description: partial 23S ribosomal RNA
Rfam family: Bacterial large subunit ribosomal RNA
Source: RNAcentral